AUUGAACGCUGGCGGCAUGCCUUACACAUGCAAGUCGAACGGUAACGCGGGGCAACCUGGCGACGAGUGGCGAACGGGUGAGUAACAUAUCGGAACGUGCCCAGUAGUGGGGGAUAGCCCGGCGAAAGCCGGAUUAAUACCGCAUACGACCUACGGGUGAAAGCGGGGGAUCGCAAGACCUCGCGCUAUUGGAGCGGCCGAUAUCAGAUUAGGUAGUUGGUGGGGUAAAAGCCUACCAAGCCGACGAUCUGUAGCUGGUCUGAGAGGACGACCAGCCACACGGGGACUGAGACACGGCCCAGACUCCUACGGGAGGCAGCAGUGGGGAAUUUUGGACAAUGGGCGAAAGCCUGAUCCAGCCAUGCCGCGUGCGGGAAGAAGGCCUUCGGGUUGUAAACCGCUUUUGUCAGGGAAGAAAGGCUCUGGGCUAAUACCCUGGGGCGAUGACGGUACCUGGAGAAUAAGCACCGGCUAACUACGUGCCAGCAGCCGCGGUAAAAC
Molecule: ribosomal RNA, 501 nt
Filed under: uncultured bacterium
Lineage: Bacteria
Description: bacterial SSU rRNA
Rfam family: Bacterial small subunit ribosomal RNA
Source: RNAcentral